GAGAGCAUAGCUCAAGUGGUAGAGGGCAUGCUUAGCAUGCAUGAGGUCCUGGGUUGAAUCCCCAGUACCUCCU
This is a transfer RNA of Camelus ferus (Wild Bactrian camel), 73 nucleotides long. It matches the Rfam family "tRNA". Rfam says of the family: Transfer RNA (tRNA) molecules are approximately 80 nucleotides in length. Their secondary structure includes four short double-helical elements and three loops (D, anti-codon, and T loops). The record is from Rfam. Lineage: Eukaryota; Metazoa; Chordata; Mammalia; Artiodactyla; Camelidae.